CCCUUAGAUGUUCUGGGCCGCACGCGUGCUACACUGAGUGGAUCAGCGGGUCAGGUUGCGCGAAAGCGUUUCCUAAUCUUUAAAUCCGCUCGUGAUGGGGAUUGACGGUUGCAAUUUUCUAUCAUGAACGAGGAAUACCUUGUAAGCGCGGGUCAUCAUCCCGCGCUGAAUACGUCCCUGCCCUUUGUACACACCGCCCGUCGCUCCUACCGAUUGAGUGGUCCGGUGAGGCUUUGGGAUCUGAGCGGAAAGAGCGUUUCGCUGUUUCUGCUCGGAAAACUCAGUCGAACCUUAUCAUUUAGAGGAAGGAGAAGUCGUAACA
RNAcentral lists this ribosomal RNA (322 nucleotides) under uncultured eukaryote. RNAcentral's name for it is "partial 18S ribosomal RNA". It matches the Rfam family "Eukaryotic small subunit ribosomal RNA", at positions 1470 to 1796 of the family's 1831-position model. The record is from RNAcentral.